GCUAAGGACCCUGUGAAUCGCAGAGCUUGUCACAUUCUGGAAUGCUGUGACGGGCUGGCCCAGGACGUCAUCGGCUCCAUCGGACAAGCCUUUGAGCUCCGGUUUAAGCAAUAUUUGCAGUGUCCUUCCAAGAUCCCCGCUCUCCAUGACCGAAUGCAGAGUCUGGAUGAGCCCUGGAAUGAAGAGGAGAGUGAUGGCUCAGACCGCCCAUACUACAACAGCAUUCCAAGCAAGACACCUCCUCCAGGGGGCUUUGUUGAUGCUCGACUCAAAGCCAGAUCCCACGCCCCUGACACAGCCCAGUUUGCAGGAAAUGAGCAAAC
Molecule: non-coding RNA, 323 nt
Organism: Ceratotherium simum simum (southern white rhinoceros)
Lineage: Eukaryota; Metazoa; Chordata; Mammalia; Perissodactyla; Rhinocerotidae
Source: RefSeq, a predicted model, not a curated record